Molecule: long non-coding RNA, 1162 nt
Organism: Heterocephalus glaber (naked mole-rat)
Lineage: Eukaryota; Metazoa; Chordata; Mammalia; Rodentia; Bathyergidae
Source: Ensembl
AGGGAAGGGAGGAGGAGAGAGAAAUGGUGUCAGGCAGCGGCUGUGCAGUCAGGCUGAUGGGGAUUUUAGUUAAGAGACUCUGCCUAUUAGUACCUGUUUGAACAAAGAGUUGAGCCUGCAGUAAGAAGAAAAAUAUCCCCAGAGGAUCCAAGUUCUAUUCAAAAGUGAUGCUCUUUGGCUUAGCGCUGAAUUCUUUUUAAAAAUUACGGUGAGGAAGCCUAGAUGAAGGAAAUGAGAUCAUAUGCCAAAAGUCACAGAGCCAAGAAGAGGUGGCAGAGCUAGGAUUUGACCCAAGGGCAUCUGGUUUAGGGUGGAUAUUCUUACUUGCAAUAAUCAACUUUCCCUGAAUCCUGGCUUUAUUUGAUGAUGAAGGUCCAUCACCUCCUCCAAUUCUACAUCUUCCUGUCAUCAUAUGCUAUUCAAUAAUGGGAUCAAAGAUAGACUAUUUAUAAUUGGAAGUUUAUCAGUGUUAUGGCCUAUAUCUAGAUGUCCCUCUAAAGCCUCAUGUACUCAUAGGUGGGGCUUUUGGGAGGUGACCGGAUCAUGGGCAUGUGAUACUGGAUUAUGGAUGGGUAAUACUGGAUUAGUUCACUGAUUGGUUUAGCAUAGUGCUGGGUGUGGAUGGUCGAUUUACUGGAGAAGGAUGACACCAACCAAUAGGCUUGUAGUGUGGAUGGAAUAAAAAGAGAAAGGGAGGCUCGCUGCUUCGUGCCUGCCAUCCCAUGAGCUCUUUCUUGUCUACUACAGCCCCUCUGCCAUGCCACCCUGCCUUGGAGCCAGCCAAUUAUGGACCAAAACCUCUUUGAACUAUGAGCCAAUUAUGGACUGAACUGAAAUCCCUACAAACUUCCCUCCUUUAAAUUGCGCAGUUGGGUAUUUUGUCUUAGUAAUGACAAAGGAACUAAGACAAUCAGUGCUUACAUUGGAUGAAAUCAAUACAUCAAUGACUAGGUAAAUACCUCAGGACUGAGAACUACAAACUUUCUAGCUCAGUGGAAAUCACGGGCUAAGUUUGCAUGCUUGUAAUCCCAGCAAUCUGGGAGUCUGAGACAGGAAGAUCACAAGUUUGGGCAAUUUAGCAGCUUAGCCAGGCUCUGUCUCAAAAAUUUAAAGAAAGAACAAAAGAAAGAAAGAAAGAGUGACACAGAGAGAGAGAGAGAGG